GUUCCUAUGGUCUAGUGGUUAUGACGCUUCGUUGUGGAAUUUGUAACCAAAUCCGAAGCAGCCCGUGUUCGAUUCACGGUGGGGACA
Molecule: non-coding RNA, 87 nt
Organism: Ceratobasidium sp. 394
Lineage: Eukaryota; Fungi; Basidiomycota; Agaricomycetes; Cantharellales; Ceratobasidiaceae
Source: the annotation of a GenBank genome assembly